AUUGAACGCUGGCGGCAGGCCUAACACAUGCAAGUCGAACGGUAACAGGAAGCAGCUUGCUGCUUUGCUGACGAGUGGCGGACGGGUGAGUAAUGUCUGGGAAACUGCCUGAUGGAGGGGGAUAACUACUGGAAACGGUAGCUAAUACCGCAUAACGUCGCAAGACCAAAGAGGGGGACCUUCGGGCCUCUUGCCAUCGGCUGUGCCCAGAUGGGAUUAGCUAGUAGGUGGGGUAACGGCUCACCUAGGCGACGAUCCCUAGCUGGUCUGAGAGGAUGACCAGCCACACUGGAACUGAGACACGGUCCAGACUCCUACGGGAGGCAGCAGUGGGGAAUAUUGCACAAUGGGCGCAAGCCUGAUGCAGCCAUGCCGCGUGUAUGAAGAAGGCCUUCGGGUUGUAAAGUACUUUCAGCGGGGAGGAAGGGAGUAAAGUUAAUACCUUUGCUCAUUGACGUUACCCGCAGAAGAAGCACCGGCUAACUCCGUG
This 490-nucleotide ribosomal RNA is filed under the name uncultured bacterium. RNAcentral describes it as "partial 16S ribosomal RNA". It matches the Rfam family "Bacterial small subunit ribosomal RNA", at positions 30 to 507 of the family's 1533-position model. The record is from RNAcentral.